Molecule: signal recognition particle RNA, 99 nt
Filed under: Verrucomicrobiota bacterium JB022
Lineage: Bacteria; Pseudomonadati; Verrucomicrobiota
Description: signal recognition particle sRNA small type
Rfam family: Bacterial small signal recognition particle RNA
About the family: The signal recognition particle (SRP) is a universally conserved ribonucleoprotein involved in the co-translational targeting of proteins to membranes. Archaeal SRP consists of a 7S RNA and homologues of the eukaryotic SRP19 and SRP54 proteins.
Source: RNAcentral
GGCUGGGCCCUAUGCAACGGCGGGCCGGUGAACUCCGCCAGGGCCGGAAGGCAGCAACGGUAACCAGGACCCCCGUGUGCCGUAGGUCGCCUGGCCACU